Molecule: ribosomal RNA, 209 nt
Filed under: uncultured bacterium
Lineage: Bacteria
Description: partial 16S ribosomal RNA
Rfam family: Bacterial small subunit ribosomal RNA
Source: RNAcentral
CGGAUACGGAGUCUGCAACCCGACUCCGUGAAGCUGGAUUCGCUAGUAAUCGCGCAUCAGCCAUGGCGCGGUGAAUACGUUCCCGGGCCUUGUACACACCGCCCGUCAAACCAUGAGAGUUGGCAACACCCGAAGUCGGUAGUCUAACCGCAAGGAGGACGCCGCCGAAGGUGGGGUUGAUGAUUAGGGUUAAGUCGUAACAAGGUAGC